RNAcentral lists this transfer RNA (73 nucleotides) under Xenopus tropicalis (tropical clawed frog). RNAcentral's name for it is "tRNA-Arg (TCT) (tRNA-Arg-TCT-28-1)". It matches the Rfam family "tRNA". Rfam says of the family: Transfer RNA (tRNA) molecules are approximately 80 nucleotides in length. Lineage: Eukaryota; Metazoa; Chordata; Amphibia; Anura; Pipidae. RNAcentral also lists the same sequence under 1 other name. The record is from RNAcentral.
GGCUCUGUGGCACAAUGGAUAGCGCAUUGGACUUCUAAUUCAAAGGUUGUGGGUUCGAAUCCCACCAGAGUCG